RNAcentral lists this unclassified non-coding RNA (683 nucleotides) under Enterococcus faecium. RNAcentral describes it as "contains 16S-23S intergenic spacer region". The record is from RNAcentral. Lineage: Bacteria; Bacillati; Bacillota; Bacilli; Lactobacillales; Enterococcaceae.
UAUGAAAGGCCACAGCACAAGUUGAAGAAAAUAAACCAUUUGGUGAAGAUUUCAUCUUUGAUUCUUGGUUGUCGGAUACGAAUAAAAAAUUAAUCCAGAACACUUAUGGAACAGGUUAUUAUUAUUUGCAAGAUAUUGAUGGUGAUGGAAACCCUGACGAUAAAGAAGAGAGCGGAGACACGAAUCCAUAUAUCGGGAAACCUGAAUUAGAAGAAGUAUAUGAUGUUGACACAACAGUUAAGGGGAAAGUAUUCAUCCACGAGUUAGCGGGAACAGGUCACAAAGCCCAACUUGUUGAUAAAGAAGGUACUGUAUUAGCAGAAAAAACUAUCGCUCCAAAUGAAAAAGAUGGGGCUCCAAUUUCAGAUACUGUAGAAUUUGAAUUUACGGGUGUAGAUUCAAGUAAAUUAAUCGCGAAAGAUGAAUUAAAAAUCCAAAUCGUUUCUCCAGGUUUUGAUAAACCAGAAGAAGGUUCAACCGUUAUUAAGGAAUCACCAAAAGCGGUUGAUAAACAAACCGUGGUAGUUGGAUUUAAACCAGAUGCUAAAGAAUCAAUUCGGAAUAAUAAAAACUUACCUGAAGAUGCAGAGUAUUCAUGGAAAACAGAGCCUGAUACUUUCUAACGUWACUGAUAGUACGAAAGGUAUUGUAACUGUUAAGAUCGGAAAUCGACUUUUUCGACG